Molecule: long non-coding RNA, 397 nt
Filed under: Sus scrofa (pig)
Lineage: Eukaryota; Metazoa; Chordata; Mammalia; Artiodactyla; Suidae
Description: lncRNA (ENSSSCG00070027451.1)
Source: RNAcentral
GUGUUAACUUAGUAAUGUGACAAAGGAAGUAUAAUAUGGGUGGAAAUUAAGGAAAUCUUGUUAUCAUAUUUCUUCUUAUUAAAGUCAUUUAUUUGUCAUUGAUUUUCUUCUAAAAUUUCUCAACAUAAAGUCACUGUUUAUGUUAUACUUCUCUUUUCAGCAUGUUCCAGUGCUUAGUGCAAAAACUAAGGAUUAAUCCUGCACUAUUCCAAUAAAAUGUUUUGAUUCUGAAAGCAAAGAAUGGCACUUUGCCAGCCAUUCAAGUACUGCAUCAAAUGGACCCAAUUUGAACAACUGACAAUUCAAAACAACUGGGUAAAAUAAUCCUGAAAGAAAACCACCACACAUAGGAAAAAUGAUCAUUUACUUUUUCAAGGUCUAUUUUUGCAGUACAACA